UACGUAGGGUCCGAGCGUUGUCCGGAAUUACUGGGCGUAAAGAGCUCGUAGGUGGUUUGUCGCGUUGUUCGUGAAAACUCACAGCUUAACUGUGGGCGUGCGGGCGAUACGGGCAGACUUGAGUACUGCAGGGGAGACUGGAAUUCCUGGUGUAGCGGUGGAAUGCGCAGAUAUCAGGAGGAACACCGGUGGCGAAGGCGGGUCUCUGGGCAGUAACUGACGCUGAGGAGCGAAAGCGUGAGGAGCGAACAGG
Molecule: ribosomal RNA, 253 nt
Filed under: uncultured bacterium
Lineage: Bacteria
Description: partial 16S ribosomal RNA
Rfam family: Bacterial small subunit ribosomal RNA
Source: RNAcentral